RNAcentral lists this unclassified non-coding RNA (376 nucleotides) under soil metagenome. RNAcentral's name for it is "partial contains 5.8S ribosomal RNA, internal transcribed spacer 2, and large subunit ribosomal RNA". The stretch from base 1 to 120 matches the Rfam family "5.8S ribosomal RNA", at positions 35 to 154 of the family's 154-position model. The record is from RNAcentral.
GAUGAAGAACGUAGCGAAAUGCGAUAAGUAAUGUGAAUUGCAGAAUUCAGUGAAUCAUCCAAUCUUUGAACGCAUCUUGCGCUCCUUGGUAUUCUGAGGAGCAUGCCUGUUUGAGUGUCAUUAAAUUCUCAACUACACUGACUUUGAAUUGGUGUGGCUUGGAUUUGGGGGGAAAAUUGUUGUGGGCUUUUUGUAUAGUCUGCUCCCCUGAAAUUGAUUAGCGGUACCUUUGUGGAACUGUCUACAGGUGUGAUAAUUAUCUACAUCUUAGACAUCUGCUGGAAUGCUGCUUUCUAAACCUUACUUGUAUUGACAAUCUUGACCUCAAAUCAGGUAGGACUACCCGCUGAACUUAAGCAUAUCAAUAAGCGGAGGA